AAUCAAACCCGGAGAUAUCUCGUUCUCCCCGAAAUAGCUUUAGGGCUAGCCUCGGUUGCUUACCGUCGCAGGUAGAGCACCGGAUGGGCGCGGGGGCCUCACCGCCUACCAACCCCAACCGAACUCCGAAUGGCGACGGUCUUGAGACCGGGAGUCAGAACGUGUGGGCUAAGCCGCGCGUUCGAAAGGGAAACAGCCCAGACCGCCCGCUAAGGCCCCCAAGUUCGUGUUAAGUGGCAAAGGAUGUGCGUUUGCCUAGACAACCAGGAUGUUGGCUUAGAAGCAGCCAUUCAUUUAAAGAGUGCGUAACAGCUCACUGGUCGAGUGGACAUGCGCCGACAAUAUACGGGGCUAAGCACGACGCCGAAGCGGCGGAACGAUCCUUCAAGGACCGUUGGUAGGGGAGCUUUCCUUGGGCAGCGAAGCUGAAGGGCGACCUUUGGUGGAGCCUUAAGGAAGUGAGAAUGCUGGCAUGAGUAACGAGAGCGGCGAGAGUAACGCCGCCGCCGUAAACCCAAGGUUUCCUGGGCGAGGCUAAUCCUCCCAGGGUCAGUCGGGAGCUAAGGCGAGGCCGGAAGGCGUAGCCGAUGCACAGCAGGCAGACAUUCCUGCACCUCCCGCAGACGUUCGAGCGAUGGGGUGACGGAGAAGGGUAGCUCGACGGGGUUCUGGACGUCCCCGCGAUGUCGCGUAGCCUGAGGGGUAGUAAAAUGCGCCCCUCGCAUAAGGGUGAGGCGACGGACGAAGCGCUUUAGCGAAGCGAGUGAGCCCAUGCUUCCUAGAAAAGCCUCUAGCAAGUCUGCGGGUGCCCGUACCGCAAACCGACACAGGUGGGUGGGUAGAACAUACCAAGGCGAUCGGGUCAACCAUGGUUAAGGAACUCGGCAAAAUGGCCCCGUAACUUCGGGAGAAGGGGCGGUGGCGCGGGUGAUAGAGCGUGCCUCUUGAGCCUGAGCCACUCACAGUAAAGAGGCCCAAACGACUGUUUACCAAAAACACAGGACUCUGCUGAAGUCGUAAGACGACGUAUAGGGUCUGACGCCUGCCCGGUGCCGGAAGGUCACGUGGAGUUGUCAGUCGCAAGACGAAGCAGCGAAACCAAGCCCCGGUAAACGGCGGCCGUAACUAUAACGGUCCUAAGGUAGCGAAAUUCCUUGUCGGGUAAGUUCCGACCUGCACGAAAGGCGUAACGAUUUGGGCGCUGUCUCAACCAUGGACCCGGUGAAAUUGCACUAGUCGUGAAGAUGCGACUUACCCGCGGAAGGACGGAAAGACCCCGUGAACCUUUACUGCAGCUAGACAUUGGCUGCCGGUCCGACGUGUAGAGGAUAGGUGGGAGACUGAGAACCACUGGCGCCAGCCGGUGGGGAGUCGCCCUUGGAAUACCACCCUCGUCGCUCUGGCAUCCUAACCUGCGACCGUUAUCCGGCGCAGGGACCGUGUCUGGUGGGUAGUUUGACUGGGGCGGUCGCCUCCUAAAGAGUAACGGAGGCGCGCAAAGGUCUGCUCGGGACGGUCGGCAACCGUCCUUUUGAGUGCAAGAGCAUAAGCAGGCUUCACUGCGAGACCAACAAGUCGAGCAGGUGGGAAACCAGGCUCUAGUGAUCCGGCGGCCCAGAGUGGAAUGGCCGUCGCUCAACGGAUAAAAGGUACUCCGGGGAUAACAGGCUGAUCUUCCCCAAGAGUCCACAUCGACGGGAAGGUUUGGCACCUCGAUGUCGGCUCAUCGCAUCCUGGGGCUGGAGCAGGUCCCAAGGGUUGGGCUGUUCGCCCAUUAAAGCGGUACGCGAGCUGGGUUCAGAACGUCGUGAGACAGUUCGGUCCCUAUCCUCCGUGGGCGUAAGAGAGUUGAGGGAGGCUGCCCCUAGUACGAGAGGACCGGGGUGGACGGACCUCCGGUGAACGGGUUGUCAACCAAUGGCACUGCCCGGUAGCUGAGUCCGGUUGGGAUAACCGCUGAAAGCAUCUAAGCGGGAAGCCCGUCCCAAGAUGAGCUCUCUUUUUGGUAAGGCUCCUUGU
Molecule: ribosomal RNA, 2019 nt
Filed under: mouse gut metagenome
Description: bacterial LSU rRNA
Rfam family: Bacterial large subunit ribosomal RNA
Source: RNAcentral